RNAcentral lists this ribosomal RNA (519 nucleotides) under uncultured Archaeospora. RNAcentral's name for it is "SSU rRNA". It matches the Rfam family "Eukaryotic small subunit ribosomal RNA", at positions 569 to 1090 of the family's 1831-position model. Lineage: Eukaryota; Fungi; Glomeromycota; Glomeromycetes; Archaeosporales; Archaeosporaceae. The record is from RNAcentral.
AGCAGCCGCGGUAAUUCCAGCUCCAAUAGCGUAUAUUAAAGUUGUUGCAGUUAAAAAGCUCGUAGUUGAAUUUUGGGUUUGGCCAAUUGGUCCGUUCUUGUAACGAGUACUGGUUGGUUGGGCCUCACCGCCUGGUGAUACGUAAUGUCCUUUAUUGGGUGUUGCGAGUAGCCAGGACCUUUACCUUAGAAAAAUUAGAGUGUUUAAAGCAGGCUUAUGCCGGAAUACAUUAGCAUGGAAUAAUAGAAUAGGACGAUGAUUCUAUUUUGUUGGUUUCUAGGAGCAUCGUAAUGAUUAAUAGGGAUAGUUGGGGGCAUUAGUAUUCAAUUGUCAGAGGUGAAAUUCUUGGAUUUAUUGAAGACUAACUACUGACGGAAGCAUUUGCCAAGGAUGUUUUCAUUAAUCAAGAACGAAAGUUAGGGGAUACGAAGACGAUCAGAUACCGUCGUAGUCUUAACCAUAAACUAUGCCGACUAGGGAUCGGGCGAUGUUGUUUCAAUGUACUCGCUCGGCACCUUA